AUAUCAGUCAUGCAUAGCAUAUCAAUAAGCGGAGGAAAAGAGGGCUAUUACCUACGCUUAGGAUGUUGAAGAUGUAGCACAUCAUACACGCAUGACACACUGCAUAUCAAUAAGCGGAGGAAAAGAAACUAACAAGGAUUCCCUUAGUAACGGCGAGUGAAGCGGGAAGAGCUCAAAUUUGAAAUCUUCAAGGUUUUACCUUGACGAAUUGUAGUUUAAAGAAGUGUUUUCUGUUGAAGUUUUGGUAAAAGUUCUUUGGAAUAGGACAUCAUAGAGGGUGAGAAUCCCGUAUUUGACCAUUAUUUUCAGCUGUGUGAUACACUUUCAAAGAGUCGGAUUGUUUGGGAAUGCAGUCCAAAAUGGGUGGUAAAUUUCAUCUAAAGCUAAAUAUUGGCGAGAGACCGAUAGCGAACAAGUACCGUGAGGGAAAGAUGAAAAGAACUUUGAAAAGAGAGUUAAACAGUACGUGAAAUUGUCAAAAGGGAAGCGUUUGACACCAGUGUUGUUUUCUCGAAAAUCAAUUAAAAAAAGUUGGAUUUUGUGUUGUAUUGACCUUAACAGCUUUCUGCACUCUUUUCCUGCUUUUUUUAAUGCACUUUUCGUUUAACAAGUCAACAUCAGUUUCUUUUGUUGUAAAAGGGUCAUUGGAAGGUGGCUUUCUUUUCGGAGAAAGUGUUUAUAGCCUUUGAUCUCUGCAAUCGGAGAGACUGAGGUCUGCAGCGUAGAUCCUUCGGGGUUAGAUACAUUUGUGCUAAGUUAUAACUUUUCAUAGACAACUUGUUGACUAUGUUUUAGUCAUGUAGCUUACUCGCUUAUGCUAUUUUACCUACGCUUAGGAUGUUGAAGAUGUAGCACAUCAU
RNAcentral lists this ribosomal RNA (860 nucleotides) under uncultured Neocallimastigales. RNAcentral's name for it is "partial large subunit ribosomal RNA". It matches the Rfam family "Eukaryotic large subunit ribosomal RNA", at positions 1 to 635 of the family's 3401-position model. The record is from RNAcentral. Lineage: Eukaryota; Fungi; Neocallimastigomycota; Neocallimastigomycetes; Neocallimastigales.